RNAcentral lists this ribosomal RNA (436 nucleotides) under uncultured bacterium. Its description in RNAcentral is "bacterial SSU rRNA". It matches the Rfam family "Bacterial small subunit ribosomal RNA", at positions 335 to 762 of the family's 1533-position model. The record is from RNAcentral.
ACUCCUACGGGAGGCAGCAGUGGGGAAUAUUGCGCAAUGGACGAAAGUCUGACGCAGCGACGCCGCGUGGAGGAUGAAGGUUUCGGAUCGUAAACUCCUGUCAAGAGGGAAGAAACCUAUCAUGAAUAAUACUUAUGGUAAUUGACGGUACCUCUAGAGGAAGCACCGGCUAAUUCAGUGCCAGCAGCCGCGGUAAUACUGAAGGUGCAAGCGUUAAUCGGAAUCACUGGGCGUAAAGCGCUCGUAGGUGGCUUUGUAAGUCAGGUGUGAAAGCCCACGGCUCAACCGUGGAAUUGCACUUGAUACUGCAUCGCUAGAGUAUAGGAGAGGGAAGUGGAAUUUCUGGUGUAGGAGUGAAAUCCGUAGAGAUCAGAAGGAACACCCGUGGCGAAGGCGACUUCCGUGGACUAUUACUGACACUGAGGAGCGAAAGCGU